AAGUACUUCGGUACAUCGGUGACAGGUGGUGCAUGGUUGUCGUCAGCUCGUGUCGUGAGAUGUUGGGUUAAGUCCCGCAACGAGCGCAACCCCUACGUUUAGUUGCUAACGCGUGAAGGCGAGCACUCUAGACGAACUGCCGUUGACAAAACGGAGGAAGUGGGAUGACGUCAAAUCAUCAUGCCCCUUAUGUUCUGGGCUACACACGUGCUACAAUGGCCGGUACAGACGGACGCAAAGCCGCGAGGUGGAGCAAAUCCUUAAAGCUGGUCUCAGUUCGGAUUGCAGGCUGCAACUCGCCUGCAUGAAGUCGGAGUUGCUAAGUAACCGCGCGUCAGCCAUAGUGCGGUGAAUACGUUCCCGGGCCUU
RNAcentral lists this ribosomal RNA (369 nucleotides) under uncultured Bacillus sp. RNAcentral describes it as "bacterial SSU rRNA". It matches the Rfam family "Bacterial small subunit ribosomal RNA", at positions 1013 to 1382 of the family's 1533-position model. The record is from RNAcentral. Lineage: Bacteria; Bacillati; Bacillota; Bacilli; Caryophanales; Bacillaceae.